This is a long non-coding RNA of Sphaeramia orbicularis (orbiculate cardinalfish), 290 nucleotides long. RefSeq lists it as uncharacterized. The record is from RefSeq and is a predicted model, not a curated record. The transcript has 3 exons. NCBI's taxonomy places the organism in Eukaryota, Metazoa, Chordata, Actinopteri, Kurtiformes, Apogonidae.
ACCAGCAACCAAAAGCAUCUACUGAUCUAAAAUGUAAAAUACCUGUUGAUCCACUAAUCCAAUCAGUCCAUGUAAAUAAUUGGUGUAAAAUGCAGUUUGUCAUCUUUGCAUGGUCAUCAGAUAUGACCCACUCGGAUGUUCAGAGGCCCCUUAGUGAAUGUGGAAACACCGUCAUCUUCUACAACAUUGAGUCACCAGUAAAACCCAUGGACUUUGAUAAAUGACAGUGGACGGACACACUUGUUUUCACAUUCGGUUAUUGAUAUCUCAGCUGAAAAUGUGGCUUUUUC